Potamilus streckersoni is the source of this 81-nucleotide non-coding RNA. The record is from the annotation of a GenBank genome assembly. Lineage: Eukaryota; Metazoa; Mollusca; Bivalvia; Unionida; Unionidae.
GGCUAAACGCUCUGGUGGCCUACUGGUUAGAGCGUACGCCUCGGAAACGGGAGGUCGUGGGUUCGAUCCCCGAUCGAGUCA